GGGGGCGACCAGGUCUCGACGUGGUCGGUUCUCCGGUCGAGUUGCGAGCCGAGGUCGCCGGUUGGCCUCGUAAAUCAACCGGCAACACUGCAAGUGCGAAGCGUGAUCUCGCACUCGCCGCCUAGCCGAAACUAGGUCUGGCGACGUCCCACCCGGACACGGCCCGAGGCCGGACUGGGGCGCCAACAAUCGGGCUUUGAGCCGAAGGAACGCCGAUCGCCGGAGGCUCGAGAAUCAAGGAUAGGCUGGCCCGUCGGUAGGUCGUCCGCGACCAGCCGCCGGGCGAGAACGCAACGCGGACUACGCUCGUAGAGAUUCGGUCGGUGCGACCGCGGACGCGGGUUCGAUUCCCGCCGCCUCCACUG
RNAcentral lists this transfer-messenger RNA (365 nucleotides) under Gaiellaceae. RNAcentral describes it as "Gaiella sp016870235 Standard tmRNA". It matches the Rfam family "transfer-messenger RNA". From Rfam's summary of the family: Bacterial tmRNA, also known as 10Sa RNA or SsrA, is named for its dual tRNA and mRNA-like properties. Its role is to liberate the mRNA from a stalled ribosome. To accomplish this part of the tmRNA is used as a reading frame that ends in a translation stop signal. RNAcentral also lists the same sequence under 1 other name. The record is from RNAcentral. Lineage: Bacteria; Bacillati; Actinomycetota; Thermoleophilia; Gaiellales.